AAGAAGGUAGUAUCUGCACGGAAGGGGAAAAAGAUCAAUAAGGCAGAAUUUUCUGGUGAAGAAAGAGUCAAGAUUCAAAAUGAAGACGAGAAGAUAGUCUCUGAAGAUAUACAGGUUGAUAAGGAUGACAAGAAAAGCUUCUCGGGUAUUUUUAUGAUGAUG
Long non-coding RNA from Arabidopsis lyrata subsp. lyrata, 162 nucleotides. RefSeq lists it as uncharacterized. The record is from RefSeq and is a predicted model, not a curated record. NCBI's taxonomy places the organism in Eukaryota, Viridiplantae, Streptophyta, Magnoliopsida, Brassicales, Brassicaceae. The transcript has 2 exons.